RNAcentral lists this transfer RNA (46 nucleotides) under Olea europaea subsp. cuspidata. RNAcentral describes it as "partial transfer RNA-Arg (UCU)". Lineage: Eukaryota; Viridiplantae; Streptophyta; Magnoliopsida; Lamiales; Oleaceae. RNAcentral also lists the same sequence under 2 other names. The record is from RNAcentral.
GCGUCCAUUGUCUAAUGGAUAGGACAGAGGUCUUCUAAACCUUUGG